Molecule: ribosomal RNA, 372 nt
Filed under: uncultured organism
Description: bacterial SSU rRNA
Rfam family: Bacterial small subunit ribosomal RNA
Source: RNAcentral
CGGAAGGUGCAAGCGUUGUUCGGAGUGACUGGGCGUAAAGGGCGCGUAGGCUGGAUGGUAAGAAGAUUGUGAAAACCCCGGGCUCAACCUGGGACGUGCAGUUUUGACUGCCAUUCUUGAAUGUCUAAGAGGUUAGUGGAAUUGCAGGUGUAGGAGUGAAAUCCGUAGAUAUCUGCAGGAACACCGGCGGCGAAGGCGGCUAACUGGUGGAGCAUUGACGCUGAGGCGCGAAAGCACGGGUAGCAAACAGGAUUAGAUACCCUGGUAGUCCGUGCGGUAAACGAUGGAUACUAGGUGUUCGGGGCAUUAACCCCCUGAGUACUACAGCUAACGCAAUAAGUAUCCCGCCUGGGAAGUACGGUCGCAAGGCUA